AGUGAACGCUGGCGGUAGGCCUAACACAUGCAAGUCGAACGGCAGCACGGUAAGAGCUUGCUCUUACGGGUGGCGAGUGGCGGACGGGUGAGGAAUACAUCGGAAUCUACUUUUUCGUGGGGGAUAACGUAGGGAAACUUACGCUAAUACCGCAUACGACCUACGGGUGAAAGCAGGGGAUCUUCGGACCUUGCGCGAUUGAAUGAGCCGAUGUCGGAUUAGCUAGUUGGCGGGGUAAAGGCCCACCAAGGCGACGAUCCGUAGCUGGUCUGAGAGGAUGAUCAGCCACACUGGAACUGAGACACGGUCCAGACUCCUACGGGAGGCAGCAGUGGGGAAUAUUGGACAGUGGGCGCAAGCCUGAUCCAGCCAUACCGCGUGGGUGAAGAAGGCCUUCGGGUUGUAAAGCCCUUUUGUUGGGAAAGAAAAGCAGCAGGUUAAUACCCCGCUGUUCUGACGGUACCCAAAGAAUAAGCACCGGCUAACUUCGU
Molecule: ribosomal RNA, 491 nt
Filed under: uncultured bacterium
Lineage: Bacteria
Description: partial 16S ribosomal RNA
Rfam family: Bacterial small subunit ribosomal RNA
Source: RNAcentral